This is a non-coding RNA of Dermacentor silvarum, 72 nucleotides long. The record is from the annotation of a RefSeq genome assembly. NCBI's taxonomy places the organism in Eukaryota, Metazoa, Arthropoda, Arachnida, Ixodida, Ixodidae.
UCCGUCGGUGGUCUAGUGGCUAGAUACCUGCCUUCCACGCAGGAGGCCCGGGUUCGAUUCCCGGCGUCGGAA